CAACACUCUGAAACUCGCAUUCUUCUUACGAAACCCUCAAAAUCGCUAUCACUCUCAAAAUCCCUAAUACUCCAAUAUUGAAUCCCUAACCGCACUCAUGUUCAUCACGAUUCAGCAUCGAAUCGCACUCAAAAUCCUCAGUGUUCAUCACGAUUCAACACUGAAUCCAGAACUCACUCUCGUUCAUUCGCACCAUCACUUCUUCAGAAUCGUGAACGGUUCUCGUUCGCACCAUUGCACCAAUAUUCAUGUAGUAAUUGAUUUCCUCU
RNAcentral lists this long non-coding RNA (269 nucleotides) under Trifolium pratense (red clover). Its description in RNAcentral is "long non-coding RNA (TPRA_LNC003810)". Lineage: Eukaryota; Viridiplantae; Streptophyta; Magnoliopsida; Fabales; Fabaceae. The record is from RNAcentral.